GGAAUAUUGGACAAUGGGCGCAAGCCUGAUCCAGCCAUGCCGCGUGUGUGAAGAAGGCCUUCGGGUUGUAAAGCACUUUUGUUGGGGAAGAAAAGCACUGGGUUCAUACCCCGGUGUCAUGACGGUACCCAAAGAAUAAGCACCGGCCACCUUCGUGCCCGCAGCAGCGGUAAUACGAAGGGUGCAAGCGUUACUCGGAAUUACUGGGCGUAAAGCGUGCGUAGGUGGUUUGUUAAGUCUGAUGUGAAAGCCCUGGGCUCAACCUGGGAAUUGCAUUGGAUACUGGCAGUCUAGAGUGCGGUAGAGGGUAGCGGAAUUCCCGGUGUAGCAGUGAAAUGCGUAGAUAUCGGGAGGAACAUCCGUGGCGAAGGCGGCUACCUGGACCAGCACUGACACUGAGGCACGAAAGCGUGGGGAGCAAAC
This 423-nucleotide ribosomal RNA is filed under the name uncultured bacterium. RNAcentral describes it as "bacterial SSU rRNA". It matches the Rfam family "Bacterial small subunit ribosomal RNA", at positions 358 to 773 of the family's 1533-position model. The record is from RNAcentral.